RNAcentral lists this ribosomal RNA (384 nucleotides) under uncultured prokaryote. RNAcentral's name for it is "bacterial SSU rRNA". It matches the Rfam family "Archaeal small subunit ribosomal RNA", at positions 341 to 725 of the family's 1478-position model. The record is from RNAcentral.
GCGAAAACUUUACAAUGCUGGCAACAGCGAUAAGGGAACCUCGAGUGCCAGGUUACAAAUCUGGCUGUCGAGAUGCCUAAAAAGCAUUUCAUAGCAAGGGCCGGGCAAGACCGGUGCCAGCCGCCGCGGUAACACCGGCGGCUCGAGUGGUAACCGUUAUUAUUGGGUCUAAAGGGUCUGUAGCCGGCCGGAUAAGUCUCUUGAGAAAUCUGGCAGCUUAACUGUCAGGCUUUCAGGAGAUACUGUCUGGCUCGAGGCCGGGAGAGGUGAGAGAUACUUCAGGAGUAGGGGUGAAAUCUUGUAAUCCUUGAAGGACCACCAGUGGCGAAGGCGUCUCACCAGAACGGACCUGACGGCAAGGGACGAAAGCUAGGGGCACGAACC